Molecule: ribosomal RNA, 520 nt
Filed under: uncultured Glomus
Lineage: Eukaryota; Fungi; Glomeromycota; Glomeromycetes; Glomerales; Glomeraceae
Description: SSU rRNA
Rfam family: Eukaryotic small subunit ribosomal RNA
Source: RNAcentral
AGCAGCCGCGGUAAUUCCAGCUCCAAUAGCGUAUAUUAAAGUUGUUGCAGUUAAAAAGCUCGUAGUUGAAUUUCGGGGUUAGUAGGUUGGUCAUGCCUCUGGUAUGUACUGAUCUCACUGAUUCCUCCUUCCUUAUGAACCGUAAUGCCAUUAAUUUGGUGUUGCGGGGAAUUUGGACUGUUACUUUGAAAAAAUUAGAGUGUUUAAAGCAAGCUAACGCUUGAAUACAUUAGCAUGGAAUAAUGAAAUAGGACGUUCGAUCUUAUUUUGUUGGUUUCUAGGAUUGACGUAAUGAUUAAUAGGGAUAGUUGGGGGCAUUAGUAUUCAAUUGUCAGAGGUGAAAUUCUUGGAUUUAUUGAAGACUAACUACUGCGAAAGCAUUUGCCAAGGAUGUUUUCAUUAAUCAAGAACGAAAGUUAGGGGAUCGAAGACGAUCAGAUACCGUCGUAGUCUUAACCAUAAACUAUGCCGACUAGGGAUCGGAUGAUGUUAAUUUUUAAUGACUCAUUCGGCGCCUUAC